GACGAACGCUGGCGGCGUGGAUUAGGCAUGCAAGUCGAACGGUAUCAUCCUUUCGGGGGUGAGAGAGUGGCGAACUGGUGAGUAACACGUAGGUUAUCUACCCUCAAGACGGGGACAACCCAGGGAAACUUGGGCUAAUACCGGAUGUGAGCAACUUUUAGUUGUUUGAAAGGUGGCGUAAGCUGUCGCUUGGGGAUGAGCCUGCGUCCUAUUAGUUAGUUGGUGAGGUAACGGCUCACCUAGGCAAUGAUAGGUAGGCGGCCUUAACGGGUGGUCGCCCACACUGGGAUUGAGAUACGGCCCAGACUCCUACGGGAGGCAGCAGUCGAGAAUAGUCUACAAUGGUCGGAAGACUGAUAGUGCGACGCCGCGUGAACGAUGAAUCCCUUCGGGGUGUAAAGUUCUUUUAUAUGUGAGCAGUGCUUCUUAUAUUAACAGUACGGGGAGAGAGAUAUUAGCAUAUGAAUAAGCAACGGCUAACUCCGUGCCAGCACGCCGACGGUAAACUCGU
This 511-nucleotide ribosomal RNA is filed under the name uncultured bacterium. RNAcentral's name for it is "bacterial SSU rRNA". It matches the Rfam family "Bacterial small subunit ribosomal RNA", at positions 28 to 528 of the family's 1533-position model. The record is from RNAcentral.